GGGUUGUGAGGUUAAGCGACUAAGCGUACACGGUGGAUGCCCUGGCAGUCAGAGGCGAUGAAGGACGUGCUAAUCUGCGAAAAGCGCCGGCGAGGUGAUAUGAACCUUUGACCCGGCGAUGUCCGAAUGGGGAAACCCAGUGCAAUUCGUUGCACUAUCGUUAACUGAAUACAUAGGUUAACGAGGCGAACCGGGGGAACUGAAACAUCUAAGUACCCCGAGGAAAAGAAAUCAACCGAGAUUCCCCCAGUAGCGGCGAGCGAACGGGGAGCAGCCCAGAGUCUGAAUCAGCUUGUGUGUUAGUGGAAGCGUCUGGAAAGUCGCACGGUACAGGGUGACAGUCCCGUACACGAAAGCACACAGGUUGUGAACUCGAAGAGUAGGGCGGGACACGUGGUAUCCUGUCUGAAUAUGGGGGGACCAUCCUCCAAGGCUAAAUACUCCUGACUGACCGAUAGUGAACCAGUACCGUGAGGGAAAGGCGAAAAGAACCCCGGCGAGGGGAGUGAAAAAGAACCUGAAACCGUGUACGUACAAGCAGUGGGAGCACCUUCGUGGUGUGACUGCGUACCUUUUGUAUAAUGGGUCAGCGACUUAUAUUCUGUAGCAAGGUUAACCGUAUAGGGGAGCCGAAGGGAAACCGAGUCUUAACUGGGCGUUAAGUUGCAGGGUAUAGACCCGAAACCCGGUGAUCUAGCCAUGGGCAGGUUGAAGGUUGGGUAACACUAACUGGAGGACCGAACCGACUAAUGUUGAAAAAUUAGCGGAUGACUUGUGGCUGGGGGUGAAAGGCCAAUCAAACCGGGAGAUAGCUGGUUCUCCCCGAAAGCUAUUUAGGUAGCGCCUCGUGAACUCAUCUUCGGGGGUAGAGCACUGUUUCGGCUAGGGGGCCAUCCCGGCUUACCAACCCGAUGCAAACUACGAAUACCGAAGAAUGUUAUCACGGGAGACACACGGCGGGUGCUAACGUCCGUCGUGAAGAGGGAAACAACCCAGACCGCCAGCUAAGGUCCCAAAGUCAUGGUUAAGUGGGAAACGAUGUGGGAAGGCACAGACAGCCAGGAUGUUGGCUUAGAAGCAGCCAUCAUUUAAAGAAAGCGUAAUAGCUCACUGGUCGAGUCGGCCUGCGCGGAAGAUGUAACGGGGCUAAACCAUGCACCGAAGCUGCGGCAGCGACGCUUAGGCGUUGUUGGGUAGGGGAGCGUUCUGUAAGCCGUUGAAGGUGUCCUGUGAGGGGUGCUGGAGGUAUCAGAAGUGCGAAUGCUGACAUAAGUAACGAUAAAGCGGGUGAAAAGCCCGCUCGCCGGAAGACCAAGGGUUCCUGUCCAACGUUAAUCGGGGCAGGGUGAGUCGACCCCUAAGGCGAGGCCGAAAGGCGUAGUCGAUGGGAAACAGGUUAAUAUUCCUGUACUUGGUGUUACUGCGAAGGGGGGACGGAGAAGGCUAUGUUAGCCGGGCGACGGUUGUCCCGGUUUAAGCAUGUAGGCGGAGGUUCCAGGUAAAUCCGGUACCUUUUAACGCUGAGGUGUGAUGACGAGGCACUACGGUGCUGAAGUAACAAAUGCCCUGCUUCCAGGAAAAGCCUCUAAGCAUCAGGUAACAUCAAAUCGUACCCCAAACCGACACAGGUGGUCAGGUAGAGAAUACCAAGGCGCUUGAGAGAACUCGGGUGAAGGAACUAGGCAAAAUGGUGCCGUAACUUCGGGAGAAGGCACGCUGAUAUGUAGGUGAAGCCCCUGCGGGUGGAGCUGAAAUCAGUCGAAGAUACCAGCUGGCUGCAACUGUUUAUUAAAAACACAGCACUGUGCAAACACGAAAGUGGACGUAUACGGUGUGACGCCUGCCCGGUGCCGGAAGGUUAAUUGAUGGGGUUAGCGGCAACGCGAAGCUCUUGAUCGAAGCCCCGGUAAACGGCGGCCGUAACUAUAACGGUCCUAAGGUAGCGAAAUUCCUUGUCGGGUAAGUUCCGACCUGCACGAAUGGCGUAAUGAUGGCCAGGCUGUCUCCACCCGAGACUCAGUGAAAUUGAACUCGCUGUGAAGAUGCAGUGUACCCGCGGCAAGACGGAAAGACCCCGUGAACCUUUACUAUAGCUUGACACUGAACACUGGUCCUUGAUGUGUAGGAUAGGUGGGAGGCUUUGAAGCGUGGACGCCAGUCUGCGUGGAGCCAACCUUGAAAUACCACCCUUUAAUGGCUGGUGUUCUAACGUAGACCCGUAAUCCGGGUUGCGGACAGUGUCUGGUGGGUAGUUUGACUGGGGCGGUCUCCUCCCAAAGAGUAACGGAGGAGCACGAAGGUUAGCUAAUCCUGGUCGGACAUCAGGAGGUUAGUGCAAUGGCAUAAGCUAGCUUGACUGCGAGAGUGACGGCUCGAGCAGGUGCGAAAGCAGGUCAUAGUGAUCCGGUGGUUCUGAAUGGAAGGGCCAUCGCUCAACGGAUAAAAGGUACUCCGGGGAUAACAGGCUGAUACCGCCCAAGAGUUCAUAUCGACGGCGGUGUUUGGCACCUCGAUGUCGGCUCAUCACAUCCUGGGGCUGAAGUAGGUCCCAAGGGUAUGGCUGUUCGCCAUUUAAAGUGGUACGCGAGCUGGGUUUAGAACGUCGUGAGACAGUUCGGUCCCUAUCUGCCGUGGGCGCUGGAGAAUUGAGGGGGGCUGCUCCUAGUACGAGAGGACCGGAGUGGACGCAUCACUGGUGUUCGGGUUGUCAUGCCAAUGGCACUGCCCGGUAGCUAAAUGCGGAAAAGAUAAGUGCUGAAAGCAUCUAAGCACGAAACUUGCCCCGAGAUGAGUUCUCCCUGACCCUUUAAGGGUCCUGAAGGAACGUUGAAGACUACGACGUUGAUAGGUCGGGUGUGUAAGCGCAGCGAUGCGUUGAGCUAACCGAUACUAAUGAACCGUGAGGCUUAACCUUACAACGCCGAAGCUGUU
This 2931-nucleotide ribosomal RNA is filed under the name Enterobacter asburiae. Its description in RNAcentral is "23S ribosomal RNA". It matches the Rfam family "Bacterial large subunit ribosomal RNA". The record is from RNAcentral. Lineage: Bacteria; Pseudomonadati; Pseudomonadota; Gammaproteobacteria; Enterobacterales; Enterobacteriaceae.